CCACGCUUGGAACUGAUCAGGGGUUAAGAACGGAUCUAGCAAAAACUUCACCUGGUGCACUGAAGUUUGUUUCUACUGAGCCAGGUGUAAUUUCAUGGUGCUGCCCUGUUGAUCUUCUCUAAAAUCACAGUUAAUAAGCACUUGCUGAGGAAACUUUAAUUUCAUAAAUUCUCCGUGCUCCUUGCUAUCUUUGCCAUAAAGGGAGUUAUAUGAGCGUUUUCUUUCAAGAGCAGCCUUACCCAUUUUGUGGCGUUACUUGUGAAUUCUAAUCUGUCCCACCUGGAGAUGUCUCCCUUAAUGCUGAACUACACUGAAGAAUAAAGUUUUCUGAAGUGUAUAAACGAGUUCAAGGGUCUUAAAAUUGCAUUAGUUUGUAGGGUGUAGCUGGUUUUACCAGAGUUACCAAAACAAUGCUUCUAUAUGCACACCAUGUGCAAUUAAAUACAUUCAUCUUCUUCAGAGUAGGAUUGAAUAAGCUUCCAGAAUUUAGCUGUUCUUGAUAUCUGUGUAUAACACAGAAUGGUCUGGAAAAAGCUUGCCGGGUCUUUUUUUUUUUUUCUUCUCUUCCUCAGUGUACCAGGAACUGCAUAAUUAAAUAGAGCAAUAUAAUGUGAAUUUGGGGCUGAGUGAUGUGAGUUUCAAGGAAAAAAUGUAGUAAUGAAGGUGUAGUACUUCUGCAGAAAAUCACCUUAUCUCUUUAUGCAAGAUUUCUGAGACUGGCUUUGUAGGCUUUCAUGGCUGGAAAGAAACAUGACACUGUCCGUGGCCUUUGUGGAUCAGAGAGCAGAUGCAAAGCUGUACCCUGAAGUCUACACGGAUGACGUCUUUCUUACACUGGACAGAAUUUAGCCUAGUUCCAUUUUAGUGGUGUUUCCAUUUAAUUUAAAAAAAAAAAAAAGUUAUACUGAAUCCUCUUACGUUGUGACUAUGUGAAGACUGGAACUUUGCACUGGGUACAAUAGACAGACAAGUGGUCCUAGAGGGUGUAUUGAUUUCCCUUGAUUUCUGAGGUGAUUUCACCUGAGAGUUGAUUCUCAAAAAGUAUGCUCAUAUGCCUGAGCAUUUGUCUUGUCAAUCCAGUUAGUAAAAUACAAAAAAGACACAGGACCUGACACGGUAAGUAAAGUGCAGGUUUGGACCAACAGCUUCUGAAAAAGAGGUUGAAAAAUCCCUGGAAAACUGCAGGAAUUUAUGUUCUCAUGCACACAGAACUUUUGAGGUGAACAUCUAUGAGCUCAGGGAAGGAUUGUAGCUCGUGCUUUCUGCCACAUAAGGGAGAAAAGGAUGAAUGCACUGUGCUCCAAAUAAGGGCUUAGAAAUUCCAGACUAGAAAGAGGGAGAGAUGAUACAGUUGUAAAUACUAAAGUUGUGACUGCAAAAUGCAGAAAGCAUUUCUCUCUUGGUGGGAGAGAAAUGAAGAGUAUUGUGAAACUUCUGUUUAAUCAGAGGAGAGCUUCCACAUUUCUGUCACAUAAAUAUGCAGAAAGGAUAAGCUUAUAGCUUCAGCUGUCCUGAAGGCAGUGACACCAUAUGAAGACAGAACACAUGUGCGUAUGCCUGUAUAAACAUAUACACAGUUGUAGCCAGAAUGUAUAAUGCUGUCAGGAUUGAGCUUUCUCUUUCCACGGAUGUGCAUAUGCCCUCUUCAGUCUAAUUAGGUUUAUGACUCUACGUGCACGUGUACGUGCAAGAGAUAUAAAAUGCAAGUACUGUUGCUUUUGAUGUGAAAUAUUUAUUUUCUUGUACCAACUACAGGUCCCUAAGAGGGUACAUGUAAGGUUCAUACUGUAAGAUACAUGGCUGAAGCACU
Molecule: long non-coding RNA, 1810 nt
Filed under: Numida meleagris (helmeted guineafowl)
Lineage: Eukaryota; Metazoa; Chordata; Aves; Galliformes; Numididae
Description: lncRNA (ENSNMEG00000014931.1)
Source: RNAcentral